This is a long non-coding RNA of Lycium barbarum (goji berry), 372 nucleotides long. RefSeq lists it as uncharacterized. The transcript is spliced from 2 exons. The record is from RefSeq and is a predicted model, not a curated record. NCBI's taxonomy places the organism in Eukaryota, Viridiplantae, Streptophyta, Magnoliopsida, Solanales, Solanaceae.
CAGGCUCUGACCGAUCCUCUGCCAGCUAUUAUAAAAAGCCCUACCUAGUUGAUUCUUUGGCUCUUUGCUAAAGAUUCUCGUGGUGACAAAGACUCAAACUUCAAGUUCAACUACAACUACAAGUUUGCAACUCUAAAAGGCAACAGUUUAUAGGGCUUCAAAGGGAACUGGCGAUGAAGUUUUGCUUAAGUUUAGGGAGGCUCUUGACAUAUUGGAAUAGAAUUGAAAAUAUUACUGUUGAUACUUGAAAAAUGAUAUAGUUGUUGUGCUUUUUCGCAAGAGGAGUGCCAGUUGAGCUCUUAAUGUUGAUACUUGUAUAUCUCUUACCAAAUGUUUUGUUUGCACUAAAUUAUCUUUUACUAGUUUUGUUUU